This 435-nucleotide ribosomal RNA is filed under the name uncultured Lachnospiraceae bacterium. RNAcentral's name for it is "bacterial SSU rRNA". It matches the Rfam family "Bacterial small subunit ribosomal RNA", at positions 341 to 792 of the family's 1533-position model. Lineage: Bacteria; Bacillati; Bacillota; Clostridia; Lachnospirales; Lachnospiraceae. The record is from RNAcentral.
ACGGGAGGCAGCAGUGGGGAAUAUUGGACAAUGGGCGCAAGCCUGAUCCAGCGACGCCGCGUGAGUGAAGAAGUAUUUCGGUAUGUAAAGCUCUAUCAGCAGGGAAGAUAAUGACGGUACCUGACUAAGAAGCCCCGGCUAACUACGUGCCAGCAGCCGCGGUAAUACGUAGGGGGCAAGCGUUAUCCGGAUUUACUGGGUGUAAAGGGAGUGUAGGUGGUUUGGCAAGCCAGACGCGAAAGCCCGGGGCUCAACCCCGCGGACUGCAUUUGGAACUGUUAAACUUGAGUGCAGGAGAGGAAAGUGGAAUUCCUAGUGUAGCGGUGAAAUGCGUAGAUAUUAGGAGGAACACCAGUGGCGGAGGCGGCUUUCUGGACUGUAACUGACACUGAGGCUCGAAAGCGUGGGGAGCAAACAGGAUUAGAUACCCUGGUA